This 96-nucleotide Y RNA is filed under the name Microcebus murinus (gray mouse lemur). Its description in RNAcentral is "Y RNA (ENSMICG00000045159.1)". It matches the Rfam family "Y RNA". Rfam says of the family: Y RNAs are components of the Ro ribonucleoprotein particle (Ro RNP), in association with Ro60 and La proteins. The Y RNAs and Ro60 and La proteins are well conserved, but the function of the Ro RNP is not known. The record is from Rfam by way of RNAcentral. Lineage: Eukaryota; Metazoa; Chordata; Mammalia; Primates; Cheirogaleidae.
GGCUGGUCUGAUGGUACUGGGUUAUUAGAACUUAUUAACAUUAGUGUCACUAAAGUUGGUAUACAACCCCCCACUGCUAAACUUGACUGAUUUUUA